UGGGGAAUUUUGGACAAUGGGCGCAAGCCUGAUCCAGCCAUUCCGCGUGAGUGAAGAAAGCCUUCGGGUUGUAAAGCUCUUUCGCAAGGGAAGAAAACUUAGGCUCUAACAUAGCCUGAGGUUGACGGUACCUUGAUAAGAAGCACCGGCUAACUACGUGCCAGCAGCCGCGGUAAUGCGUAGGGUGCGAGCGUUAAUCGGAAUUACUGGGCGUAAAGCGUGCGCAGGCGGUUUUGUAAGCCAGAUGUGAAAUCCCCGAGCUCAACUUGGGAACUGCGUUUGAAACUACAAGACUAGAAUAUGUCAGAGGGGGGUAGAAUUCCACGUGUAGCAGUGAAAUGCGUAGAGAUGUGGAGGAAUACCAAUGGCGAAGGCAGCCCCCUGGGAUAAUAUUGACGCUCAGGCACGAAAGCGUGGGGAGCAAACAG
Molecule: ribosomal RNA, 428 nt
Filed under: uncultured bacterium
Lineage: Bacteria
Description: bacterial SSU rRNA
Rfam family: Bacterial small subunit ribosomal RNA
Source: RNAcentral